AGUCUCUCGAAACCGCGCCUUUUUCUUUUCGAAAGGGGAGCGGCCUUCGGAUUUGGACGCCUGCCGCGCGCGCGCCCUUCGGGGUUUCGCGGCUCGUCUCUAAACGCAUUAGCGAACCGCCCAUGUCCGCUCUCAGACGCGAUAAGCUUGCGUCGUCAACGAGCGGUCGCGUCGGGUUUAGCCGUCCGCUGCUAAAAAGAACCUAAUUUCACCG
This 214-nucleotide unclassified non-coding RNA is filed under the name uncultured Agaricomycetes. RNAcentral describes it as "sequence contains ITS2". Lineage: Eukaryota; Fungi; Basidiomycota; Agaricomycetes. The record is from RNAcentral.